CGAACCACUAUGAGCUACUUCCACUGUACCAUCGAUCAUGAAGAACUCAACACGUACGGCAGUGUGGCUGUGCCUUGCACUGCUCGCGAUCACUACUGCACCGUCGGCCGUUUUAUCCGACGAAGGUGACGAGCAGGAGCAGGAAGCGCACACAACGCAGGAAGCGCAGGUGGUGCAGGAAGAGCAAGCUACCGCACCAACCCCGGAAGCCAAUGGGGAAGAAGGUGUAGGCGAAGGUGAAGCAACCGAUACGGAUGGGGAAGAAGCCGCCGAAACGGACGGAGCGAACCCGGGCGGAAUGUUCGUGAUGCAGCCGAUCAACAUACUGCUCGCACCGACCGCCUGUAAGCCGGGCUAUCGUGUCGAUCAUAAGGACAAGUGUCGGCCCACACUGUGAGGUCUGUUACACGAAACGACACCAUCGCUCCCGUUCGUUGGCCUGGCGAGCGAUCAUUGCCCUGUCCUGCCGAACCGCUCUAACUAACACAUUGGCACGCUGACGCUGGGACUGUCAGCGGUGAGUGACUGCAGUAACGCGUGAUCGGCACGCACAACAUUGGAUAAUGGCGUAGUUCGAUUAACAAAGACCCUCUAGGACAAAAGAUUGAUCAUAGAGAAAAAUUCUGAGGCGUUUAGCGUUCAGUGAGAAACAUUCAGUUUUGAAGAAUAAAUAGCAACUUAGUUUCACUAUAAGUCAAAUAUAUCGUUCAACUAUCCAACGAAGUAGCUCUUUUCAACUAGGUCGUCUCUACAAACUCCGCUACAAAUUGAUAGCAUUUUGGCUACAUUACACUAUCCAACUGGUGGAUUUAAGUUUUACACAUUUUACAAGAUGAUAUUACACUUUUCAACUUCUGAUAUCUCUUUGACUUUUUUGCAAUAUUUACUAAGCGGAGCGGUUUAUCAUGUGAGUUUUUAACAUAUGAAAGAAAGGGAAAAAGUGCGUUCUUUCUUAUGCUAGUUUAACUUAUCCAAUUCUCCGAUUAGGAUCAAAUAUCAUAUACAUCGUUGAUUUAAAAGAAUCGUGCAAUGGCGCAAGCAAUCCUAUAGCUUUAAAUUAUUUAAACAUGAUUUUUGAUUGCUUCCUUCGCUAGUAACACAAAUCGGCACGUGACAAGUCAAUCGUCUCAUGUACCGCAUUUGUUACACCCCAGAAUAACUACAGCGCAUGAAACUCCAACAUUUUUUUAAAAUAAAAAUCCAGUCACGCCAGUUGGAAUAAAUCAUAAGGCUAAGCAGUAACUACCAACUCGUACCUGAAGUAUAAUUCAGUACGAUUUGAGUGCGUAUAGAGGUAUUUUCAGUGAAGUGAUCACAAUGAAAUUGGUUCUGUUGCUUUAUAGCAUGUUUUUCUUGGCUGGCGUAUCCUACAGUCAAAUGGUAAAACAAUCGUUACCCAUCGGAUCACUUAACACAAGUACAAAACAGACAAUAACUAUAUGGGCAAUGAACGACUUGUUUCAGCGAAUUCGUGUACCAAAGGUAUGCCCAGCAGGGCAUAUGCUCGAUCAUAGGGAAAUAUGCAGAAAGAUUAUGCGCCCAGGGAGAUAAAUUCAUAUUUGAAGAAUAAAUAUUGACUCACUUUCACAAAACUACCUCCUGCAAGUGAAAUACGAGGCUAAUCGUUUCAUAUGCCGAUCUGUUGUCACGUGUUAAUUUUCUUCGUGCAUCGCGUCAGAAUGGUUAGCUUCUUUGUAAGUGUUGUGCGUAAGUGUGAGACUUCUUCUUCUUCUUCUUUGGCUCAACAACCGAUGUCGGUCAAGUCCUGCCUGUACCCACUUGUGGGCUUGGCUUUCAGUGACUAAUAGAUUUCCCCCCAUAGCAGGAUAGUCAGUCCUACGUAUAAGUGUGAGUGUGAGACUAUGUAAAUCAAUUAUUGUAAUAUGUAAAUCUCUGGAGCGUGUACGCAUCGGGUGGGCUUAUGACGUCCGUCGAUUGAUUAAUAAAUAUACAAAUAUCUUCUCUUUGGGUUCUUCUUUCUGACA
RNA transcript from Anopheles arabiensis, 1985 nucleotides. RefSeq lists it as uncharacterized. The transcript has 4 exons. The record is from RefSeq and is a predicted model, not a curated record. Lineage: Eukaryota; Metazoa; Arthropoda; Insecta; Diptera; Culicidae.